CUGAUAGCAUCUGUUUAGAUAUCCUUUCUACAUUUUCAGCCAAGUUUCAUUUAUAUCAUGCAAUGCAACUAAAUCAUAAAGCAUUCAGAUGCCAUUUGAAAAUCUCUAACCAGUGCAGGGCCACUAGGCCAACUUCUAUCCAUUCAAAAUAUAAAUAUUUGGAUGAUGGCGAUAGGGAGCUACACUUGGUGAGCCUCAUCAAAUUAUAAACCCCCAAUUAUAUCCUCCUUUGUGGUCAUUGAGAGUGGAUCCUAUAUUUUUGGUCAGACCCACUUGAAUUGCUUCUAUGUAAAAGUGGAAAAGGGCAUAAACUCAUUCCAUAUCUACUACCAACACUGUUACUUCUUCUCUUGAAGCUCCAAAAAGACUUGGAAGAAUUUUUCUUAUCACACCCUUCAUCUUCAUCAUUCAAAUACUUUCUUUCUUCAAGCUUUUUACUAAUACUAGAAGAAGAACCAUUGGUACAUGUAGCAUAUGAAGGUGGCAAUGAAGGGUAUGAUUCUAAAUCAGCAUUUUUCUUCAAAGGAUCAUUCUUUCUCUUUUUGAUUUCUGUGGGAAGUAUCAUUCCAUCUGAGAAAAGUUCUUCUGCUGAACAUGACUCUAUCUCAAAGCUUUCACUAACACAAAACUCAAAUUCCAUGCUUGAUGAUCCAAAAUGGUGUUGCUCUAUAGGCAUGGAAUCAGGUUGAGAAAUAUGAUGUGAGAUAAAGAAGCAAAUUUAUUCAAACCUAACAAAGAUUGAAAUAAAGAAGCAUAAAAUGUCCUAAUAUAUAUGGCUACAAGUUGACUUUGGAAACCAAGAAAGUUGACUUUGUUGUUUGGUUAGGAAAAGAGAUAAUGAAGGGACAUGCAGAGAGUGUUAUUGUUGAGAGAGAUUAACAUAUUAGAUGGACCUAAAAGAUGGGUUGAGUG
RNAcentral lists this long non-coding RNA (912 nucleotides) under Lupinus mutabilis. RNAcentral describes it as "partial ncRNA". The record is from RNAcentral. Lineage: Eukaryota; Viridiplantae; Streptophyta; Magnoliopsida; Fabales; Fabaceae.